GGGCCUGUAGCCUAGCCUGGAUAGGGCACCAGCCUUCUAAGCUGGGGGUCGGGGGUUCAAAUCCCCCCAGGCCCG
This 75-nucleotide transfer RNA is filed under the name Candidatus Woesearchaeota archaeon. RNAcentral's name for it is "tRNA-Arg". It matches the Rfam family "tRNA". Rfam says of the family: Transfer RNA (tRNA) molecules are approximately 80 nucleotides in length. The record is from RNAcentral. Lineage: Archaea; Nanobdellati; Candidatus Woesearchaeota.